GAUGAACGCUGGCGGCGUGCCUAAUACAUGCCAGUCGAGCGAACGGACGAGAAGCUUGCUUCUCUGAUGUUAGCGGCGGACGGGUGAGUAACACGUGGAUAACCUACCUAUAAGACUGGGAUAACUUCGGGAAACCGGAGCUAAUACCGGAUAAUAUUUUGAACCGCAUGGUUCAAAAGUGAAAGACGGUCUUGCUGUCACUUAUAGAUGGAUCCGCGCUGCAUUAGCUAGUUGGUAAGGUAACGGCUUACCAAGGCAACAAUGCAUAGCCGACCUGAGAGGGUGAUCGGCCACACUGGAACUGAGACACGGUCCAGACUCCUACGGGAGGCAGCAGUAGGGAAUCUUCCGAAAUGGGCGAAAGCCUGCCGGAGCAACGCCGCGUGAGUGAUGAAGGUCUUCGGAUCGUAAAACUCUGUUAUUAGGGAAGAACAUAUGUGUAAGUAACUGUGCACAUCUUGACGGUACCUAAUCAGAAAGCCACGGCUAACUACGUG
This 497-nucleotide ribosomal RNA is filed under the name uncultured bacterium. RNAcentral's name for it is "partial 16S ribosomal RNA". It matches the Rfam family "Bacterial small subunit ribosomal RNA", at positions 28 to 507 of the family's 1533-position model. The record is from RNAcentral.